GAUGAACGCUAGCUACAGGCUUAACACAUGCAAGUCGAGGGGCAGCAUGGGGUUUGCUUGCAAACCCCGAUGGCGACCGGCGCACGGGUGAGUAACGCGUAUCCAACCUUCCCCUUAGUAGGGCAUAGCCCGGUGAAAAUCGGAUUAAUGCCCUAUGGUUUCCAUUAAAGACAUCUGAGAUGGAAUAAAGAUUUAUCGCUUAUGGAUGGGGAUGCGUCUGAUUAGGUAGUAGGCGGGGUAACGGCCCACCUAGCCGACGAUCAGUAGGGGUUCUGAGAGGAAGGUCCCCCACAUUGGAACUGAGACACGGUCCAAACUCC
This 320-nucleotide ribosomal RNA is filed under the name uncultured Prevotella sp. Its description in RNAcentral is "bacterial SSU rRNA". It matches the Rfam family "Bacterial small subunit ribosomal RNA", at positions 28 to 339 of the family's 1533-position model. The record is from RNAcentral. Lineage: Bacteria; Pseudomonadati; Bacteroidota; Bacteroidia; Bacteroidales; Prevotellaceae.